AGCUUUGCGCAGUGGCAGUAUCGUAGCCAAUGAGGUUUAUCCGAGGCGCGAUUAUUGCUAAUUGAAAAGAACUUCAAGACUCUGAAGAAAGAAAUUGAAGAAGACCUCAGAAGAUG
This is a small nuclear RNA of Rattus norvegicus (Norway rat), 116 nucleotides long. Ensembl annotates it as U4 spliceosomal RNA. NCBI's taxonomy places the organism in Eukaryota, Metazoa, Chordata, Mammalia, Rodentia, Muridae. The record is from Ensembl.